RNAcentral lists this unclassified non-coding RNA (305 nucleotides) under plant metagenome. Its description in RNAcentral is "partial contains 5.8S ribosomal RNA, internal transcribed spacer 2, and large subunit ribosomal RNA". The stretch from base 1 to 105 matches the Rfam family "5.8S ribosomal RNA", at positions 50 to 154 of the family's 154-position model. The record is from RNAcentral.
GAAAUGCGAUAAGUAAUGUGAAUUGCAGAAUUCAGUGAAUCAUCGAAUCUUUGAACGCACAUUGCGCCCGCCAGUAUUCUGGCGGGCAUGCCUGUUCGAGCGUCAUUUCAACCAUCAAGCCCCGGGCUUGUGUUGGGGACCUGCGGCUGCCGCAGGCCCUGAAAACCAGUGGCGGGCUCGCGGUCACACCGAGCGUAGUAGAUUCUCAUCUCGCUCAGGGCGUGCUGCGGGUUCCGGCCGUAAAACAGCCUUAUUUUACCCAAGGUUGACCUCGGAUCAGGUAGGAAGACCCGCUGAACUUAAGC